Molecule: long non-coding RNA, 1911 nt
Organism: Strigops habroptila (Kakapo)
Lineage: Eukaryota; Metazoa; Chordata; Aves; Psittaciformes; Psittacidae
Source: Ensembl
UUUCCCCAGUGUGACUGUAAUUUCAGUACAGAAAAUGUGCAGCAGCCUGAUGAAUGCUAUGUCUGGCUAGCAUUCUUAUAGCUGGCGGUAGAUACAGUUUCAUGCUUCAUCCAUUUUUUUUUUAUGUAAAGACUAUGAGCCAAAGUGCUUUGAAGUCAGUGAAACCCUUUCAUAAACUUCAAUGGGCAAUGAAUCAACCCCUAAUGAACAAAAUAUAAGCAACUGAUGCUCCAUUUUUUCUUAAUCUUCUCUGUGUGUGAAACACUGUACUAUGUAACACGUAUUUAUCCUAUAUUUAUGCAUGCAUAUAAACAUAUAGCACAUAUACAUCCAUACAAGCAAUUAUACAUACACACACAUUGUAGGGAAAGAGGGAAGAGAUCUGCUAAAAAUAUCUCUUUGCUCUUUAUAUUGACUGCAAACCAUUUAAUAACUUAUAAUUAGUGUACUUAUAGUACGGAGUUUGAGAACUGUACCAAUUUGGUGUGCAAUAGCUACUGGAUAUUGAUGACAGCUGCAUUAUAUUCUUAGGUACAGGCAGUUACUUAGUAGCAAAGAUCCAGCCACAUUGGAAAGAAAAAGAAAUGAUGAAAAAGGUUAGUUUGCAAAUAGUUUGAAUAUAGUAAAACAAACAGCAGCUCCUUUUUUGUUUCCAGAGGGCACGCUUCAUGAUUCCCAUUUAUGUUCAAUAAGAAGAAACAUGUUGUAAUGUGAAGUAGUGUUUUGUUUUUUGCAGUAUUAUGAGUCCCAGACCUUGUAGAAAGCUAGGUACAGUCACCAUUAUAGGGGACUUAAAUUGCAGGUGGAUGCUUAAGCCCUGUGUACAUGUUAUUUAAAUUUUGCUUAUUUACUUUGAAUAACUGGAACAAAAUGGCUGAUUCAUAGACGCUUUUCCCACUAAGGCUUAAAUAACAGGCAUGAAUAAAGCUAGUCAGGAACUAGCUGUAGGAACUUGACACCAGAAAUGAGUUUGUAUGUAGGUAGGAAGGUUUAUAUUCUCGAAUAAUGCUUAGAAAUUACAAAGAUCAUGAAAAUCAUUUGACAACAUGUGAAGAGAAUUUUUGGAGUCCAAAUUACUACCACAGCAAAGAUCUUUAGGACACAAGAAGCUCUAAUACAGAAAUUUCAGGCUGCCACCUACUUCUUGCUUUCAGAUGAUUGAUAACUUGGGAAUAAAACCUUGAAAUAUAAAUCAUCUUAAGCAAUGAUCCAGGCAAGAUUAAAAGGGUCUUUAUUUUCUUACAUGUAAUUGAAGAGGAAUGCAAGAGGUAUUUAUAACAUUUUAAACCUAAGGCCAAUACUGAUUUAAAUUAGAUUAAUCAGGCAGGAUAUUAUAGAAAUAUUUAUCAUAUUGACUGAUUUACAUAUGCUUGCUAUCACAGUAUUGACAUCCAUUUAGUAGAUUAAAACUAAAUUUGGAACUUUAGCACAAAAAAUGAUUUUUCUUGACCAAAAAUCAGGUACAGUCUAUUGCAAAAUUGACUGUUGGCCAGGGAAGAAACUCAAGGUUCAGGCAGAAAUAUCUGUUCACUUUCCCUCUUAGCCCUUUGUGUUGCCAUACAAAUAGAGAACUGCUGCCUGGUGUGUGGUGUACAGCACGCUUCUCUGCCCCCAGGGGAUUUUGCUUGAUUUUGUCCACUAUCCAGACCAGAGAAGUUACCCUGGUUCAGCUCUGCUUUGGUCAUUGCCUGUAGUAUAUGCAACAUAGUAUUCAAGCUAUCCGCCAUCUCAGCUCUUAUGUUCUUCUUUAGGUGUCUGCUUUUGGUUGGCUGUCAUGUAAUCAGUUGGAUGCACCUGUAUUCUGAGCCAGGAUGGCUGUUUUGAUGAGAUGUAUUUUCUCGAGCAGCAUCACCUGCAGAUCAGCCUCACCCUUAGAAUAUUUAUGUUUAAUUAAUGUUUUGGCAUCCUGGA